CCUACGGGACGCACCAGUGGGGAAUAUUGCACAAUGGGCGCAAGCCUGAUGCAGCCAUGCCGCGUGUAUGAAGAAGGCCUUCGGGUUGUAAAGUACUUUCAGCGAGGAGGAAGGCAUUAAGGUUAAUAACCUUGAUGAUUGACGUUACUCGCAGAAGAAGCACCGGCUAACUCCGUGCCAGCAGCCGCGGUAAUACGGAGGGUGCAAGCGUUAAUCGGAAUUACUGGGCGUAAAGCGCACGCAGGCGGUCUGUCAAGUCGGAUGUGAAAUCCCCGGGCUCAACCUGGGAACUGCAUCCGAAACUGGCAGGCUAGAGUCUUGUAGAGGGGGGUAGAAUUCCAGGUGUAGCGGUGAAAUGCGUAGAGAUCUGGGGGAAUACCGGUGGCGAAGGCGGCCCCCUGGACAGAGACUGACGCUCAGGUGCGAAAGCGUGGGGAGCAAACAGGAUUAGAUACCCGCGUAGUC
Molecule: ribosomal RNA, 465 nt
Filed under: uncultured bacterium
Lineage: Bacteria
Description: bacterial SSU rRNA
Rfam family: Bacterial small subunit ribosomal RNA
Source: RNAcentral